RNAcentral lists this ribosomal RNA (402 nucleotides) under uncultured Methanosaeta sp. RNAcentral's name for it is "bacterial SSU rRNA". It matches the Rfam family "Archaeal small subunit ribosomal RNA", at positions 938 to 1338 of the family's 1478-position model. The record is from RNAcentral. Lineage: Archaea; Methanobacteriati; Methanobacteriota; Methanomicrobia; Methanotrichales; Methanotrichaceae.
GACAGCAAUAUGAAGGGCCAGGCUGAAGACUUUGCCGGAUUAGCUGAGAGGUGGUGCAUGGCCGUCGUCAGUUCGUACUGUGAAGCAUCCUGUUAAGUCAGGCAACGAGCGAGACCCACGCCCACAGUUGCCAGCGUACUCUCUGGAGUGACGGGUACACUGUGGGGACCGCCGCUGCUAAAGCGGAGGAAGGAAUGGGCAACGGUAGGUCAGUAUGCCCCGAAUAUCCCGGGCUACACGCGAGCUACAAUGGUUGGUACAAUGGGUAUCUACCCCGAAAGGGGACGGGAAUCUCCUAAAACCAAUCUUAGUUCGGAUUGAGGGCUGCAACUCGCCCUCAUGAAGCUGGAAUCUGUAGUAAUCGCGUUUCAACAGAACGCGGUGAAUACGUCCCUGCUCCUU